This 206-nucleotide ribosomal RNA is filed under the name uncultured bacterium. Its description in RNAcentral is "partial 16S ribosomal RNA". It matches the Rfam family "Bacterial small subunit ribosomal RNA", at positions 568 to 774 of the family's 1533-position model. The record is from RNAcentral.
AGCGCAGGCGGUUUUUUAAGUCUGAUGUGAAAGCCUUCGGCUUAACCGAAGAAGUGCAUCGGAAACUGGGAAACUUGAGUGCAGAAGAGGACAGUGGAACUCCAUGUGUAGCGGUGAAAUGCGUAGAUAUAUGGAAGAACACCAGUGGCGAAGGCGGCUGUCUGGUCUGUAACUGACGCUGAGGCUGAAAGCAUGGGUAGCGAACA